UGACGAAUAUUGGUCAAUGGUCGGGAGCCUUACCCAACCAAGUAGCGUGCAGGGCAACGGCCCUAUGGGUUGUAAACUGUUUUUAUGCGGAGGUAAAGUGCGGUACGUGUGGAAUUAUUUGCAUGUACCGUAUGAAUAAGGACCGGCUAAUUCCGUG
RNAcentral lists this ribosomal RNA (157 nucleotides) under uncultured bacterium. RNAcentral describes it as "partial 16S ribosomal RNA". It matches the Rfam family "Bacterial small subunit ribosomal RNA", at positions 355 to 507 of the family's 1533-position model. The record is from RNAcentral.